UUUUCUUCCCCUUUUUCUCCUAGGAAUGAAGAAAACUUCGUAGUGAUGUGAACUGAACCAAGGGUCUCACGCAUGCUAGACUCACAGUGUGUGAACUCAUAGAAUUUUAAGAAUUUAAGAAUGCCUCCCCCUCUGAUGUGCAGUUCAAAGAACAAAAUUUAAAAUCAUUAAGUCACUCAAUUUCUCAAAGAAGAAAGAAGAAAAUGUAUAAUCUCCAGUUUGUCUUUUGCAUAUGUUGAGUUUAACAUCAAGUGCCAUAAAUCAACCUCCAAGUUAGAAGAGAAGAUUUUAGAGUCAGAUAUUGGAUUUUAAUCUUCAUCACUUACUAGCUCUUCAAUCUCGAGGGAUACCUUGGAUUCUUUAUAUUCAAACUGCCAUCCUUUGUGGUAAAAGUGAGAACUGAGAACGGAAACUUAAAAAUUAUAAGGAUGCCGUAGGACAUCUUGUUGAACGGAAACCAAUUUUCCUGGCAAGAUAGCUCCUCUGCCACCCUGAUGUCAACAGAGAAACCCUUGUAUGCUGUUGUGGGAACCCAGACUCCUGCUUCCAG
Molecule: long non-coding RNA, 550 nt
Organism: Cavia porcellus (domestic guinea pig)
Lineage: Eukaryota; Metazoa; Chordata; Mammalia; Rodentia; Caviidae
Exons: 5
Source: RefSeq, a predicted model, not a curated record